Long non-coding RNA from Taeniopygia guttata (zebra finch), 3777 nucleotides. The record is from Ensembl. Lineage: Eukaryota; Metazoa; Chordata; Aves; Passeriformes; Estrildidae.
AAAUAUCCUUGCAAAGGAGCAGAGCACAGCUCAGUUCCGACUCUCAAGCACAAUUUGUGCUGUAGGGCAGCAGCAUUUUGCUGCCUGGCCUUUUUCCUAAAUUGGAGCAUUUUUUGAUAAGCAUUUGGACAAAUGAGGCUUCUUGCAGGAUCAGCUGUCUGCAGCUCUGCAGCCUCCUCGUGAUGCAGAAGAUUGAGGAGUUUAUGCAAAAUCAGGUGCUUAACCAUAUGCAAGGCAGGACGAAGGUACAGCUUUUGGAGGACAGAGAAGACAUUUAUAUUCAGAAUCAGCUCCUAAAGUGUACUGUGGCCUACAUCUGUGAAUGUAAAGUAAGGAAAUGCCUGCUGGACUUAUUCAGAACAUGGGGUCAACGAAAUGCAGAAGGCCAAGAUGACCCAGCUUCAGUCCAGGUACUAAUACACAUAUAAAGAUGCUUCCACUUGGCUUUACCCUGUUGAAAAAUGUGGAAGAAACCAUAAGCACGAGCAAACCCCCAGGAUUGUCCCACACAGCAAAGAACUGGGGCAGCACAGGACAGGAAUGGGACAAGGCACCAUGAGUGUAAAAUUAGAGGCAAAACCACAGUAAAGACAACAAAUAGUGGUGCUGCACUUCUUUGAUGUCUCUUAGAGGAUGAAUAAACCCAUACUUUGCAACAAAAUCCAGGGAAAAAGACCAGAUCCUGCUCCCUUCUAACAGGGUUAAAACAAGUACUGAACCUACUGAAACCAGUACAGAACCAUCUGAUAAAACAACAUCAGCUCCCAGUUUCAGUCCCCACUCUGUGUUUAAUAGGUUUCUUCAUCCUUUCAGAAGAAUUUUAUUCUGGUGUGACUCUGACAAAACCAAUGGUCAGAGCAGAGCAUCAGAUGGUGUCCAUGAACUUUGAGUCUGCCAGAAUGCAAAAUACCAGGUCCUCAGGUUUUAUGCACUCUGUCUCAUCACCACAGUUUUGCUUCUCGCAUCUCUGCCUUCCAAGCAGCUAAUUCAUUGAAACAAACUGUGUAAGAGAAAUAGAAUCAGUAUGGACAUUAAAUCCUCACCCACAUGGUUGAUCCUGCAAGCACAAGAGCAUCUGCUUGGAGGAACAGUAGGAUAGGCACAGUUUGCUACUGACUCCACUGUCCUCUGCAGCAUUUCACACCUCUGGGGGUUUCAGGAUUCCCUCAGGUAGAGAAGCAGUGCUGAAGCAGGAAGAGGAAGCAGUAAUGAAAGCCCAUCUGAACUGGUGAGAGCUAGAAAAAUCAGAAGCUUAAAGGUAAGUGCAUUAAUAACCUCUAAGUGAACACUAUGGGUAUUUUAAAUCCAUAGUGUGAUGGAUGUGGGCAUUACUUUUAGUAAUACAAUUAUAACAGCAAGGAUUUUGAAAGGAGAUUGAUGGAUUUAGGAACCCCUUAUAUUUGUCUACUAAGUCACCCAGAGCAUUUCAACACAUUAAUGUUCAUAGCUGAUAUAUAAAGUCAUAUUUGUUAAACUUGUUUAUAUUUUAUCCUCGUGAAGUGCAUGCACAUAGAACAAAAUCAGUUUUGAAACUCUGUCAUUUCAACAAUAUCCACUAGGGUUUUUUUUUCCACAAUGUUUCAAAAAGGAAUCUAAAUAACACAGAGGUCCAUUAAAGUGUUCAGCAUCUCUGAACAAGAAAGACAAAUCCUCCUCUAUAUAUAAUUUCAGCCUCUAAAAACUUAAGAAUAAACAACAGGAAAGGACAAAAAUCCAUGCCUGCGUGCUGGAUUCAGGGGCACAUCUGUAGGAGCAUGUGCACACUGUGGGGCACCUACUUAAUUUAAUUAGGUACACUGUACUAGCAAACUAUUUCUGCCUGAGAAAUUACAGAAGCCUUUGAUCUACGAUUCCAAGCAAAAGGGAAACAAGCUUAUUGCCCACCAGGCAAUUCCUACACUGUCCUGUGCUUUCCACAAAACCCCAGUCAGGUCAGCCUUUGGAAAAGGAAUAUACCUAGGCUGCAGGAGAGAGAAUUAUGAAGAGCAUUCCUCAGAAGGCAGUUUAUCAACAGAUGGCUUGUGGGGCUUGCAGCCCAUGCAAAAGGAACAAACAUUUCCCUUGUGAUUUAUUUCCCCAUGCAUCUGCCAAAAACUGGUCUCCCCAAGUCCCUUGGGAAUCAGUUUUCUCGGGUAAAAAUUCCAGGCCUUCAAUUUUUGUCCUUACUGGACCAAUAGCCAUGUCUAGAGCUCUUUUGAUGUUCAAAAAGGCUUGAUUUCUUUAAAAACAUGAAUAUGCCCCAGUGUUAAAUAAAAAAGAUCCUGUAUGCAAAUGCCAAAAGGAUCCAGGAUGCAAAUGCCAAAAGGUGAUGCUAGGGAAGGACUUCAAAACACGGAAAUUACACUGCACUCCAGGUACAUUCACUAUUUCCAGAACAAAAGAUCAUAUCUGCACACAUAUGCAGAAAAUCCCUGAAAAUCCCCCACUUCCUAUUGCUCCCACACAAUGUUUUAGCAGCCCCAAAGCCAUGAGUCUGACAGCUCCAUCUGACACCAUCAAUACAGGCAUAAAAGAAUUUAUACCGACACUGCUGGUGAAGGGGAUUGACAAAUAGCAGCUCUUCAGCUGCUAAAACAAGAACUGAAAAGAGCUUGAUUUAAAUAGAUUUCUAUCACAGGCAAUUGAAAGAAAUCAAGGAUUCUGAACAACAAGAAUGACUCUUUUAAAGCAACAAUUAGAAGUCAGGCUAAGCUUUAGCUGUCUAAAAGUUAGUGCCUUAUCUGAAUUAUUAUCAUUUCUUUAUGCUAUAUCUAUAGAUAGGACUACAUAGCAAGGAAACUUGCUCCAAAUGACAAGUCAAACUCUCCCUAUGAUAGCCGUUUUCUUGGAAAUUAAUGGAAAAUUAACAGGAGCAUAUCUGUUCUCUUUUCCAGUUUGCUUCAUUCAUUGAAAAAAAAAAAAAAAGAAAGAAAACCUUGAUGGCAUUAAAUAAUUCCUAAAAUACAUAAGAAAAUAACAGAAUUGUAUCCUAUUAAAACAUUCCUUAAAAGACUGCUCAAAAAAACUAUAGGAUAAACUAUAGGUUUAUCAGAAGGAUAAAGUUCAGACAAAACCCACAUAAUUAUAAUUUGUCUUGUUGCUAAAAGAAUCAUCUGACAUCAGGAGUUUUAAUUUGAAAGGAAGAUUACCCUUGGCUACUAAAGGAAAAAAAUUUAUCACUAGAAGCCCACUGCUGGAGCAAUGUUUAUAAUACCUUCACCCCUAAAUGGGUUCCCUUGAGCAAUGCUACAGAGCAGCUGGCUUCCCAGAAAUAUGAUGGCACCUUCUACCAUUUAAUUGGGCCCCUGAACUUGGUGGAACUUUCAGGAGAGGUUGUCCAGGUGCAGGUUAUUUGCACUCUAGGAUCUACAUAGUUAUACACAGCAUUAGGUUUUCCUACAUAGGUUUUUAUUUCUAAUUACUCUCUUCUCCUUGAUAGAUAUUUGCAACUCUUCAUUAGAGCAAUUUUGUAACAAGCCACAUUACUGAGUGUAAAUCAUCACACAAAAUCAGAAACCUGGUUACUUCACACUAGAAUAAAUUAUUUUGCUCAACAGUUAGGCUAACACGUUAUGAUUCUAAGCACUUCAAUUUUUUUCCAUCUUUCAAAACUAUGGCAGCGAAAAAAUGUCUGAAAAUAAGUAUUUUCUUUGAUAUAGAGGGUCCUUUCACCAGACAGUGACAAAUGUCUCAAAGGAUGCAACAUACAGAUCACCUCAACACGAGGGAGGUUCAAGGAUCUUUUGCUUUGCUUGCAUUCACCAAAGAGAUUUUAAGAUAAAUGUAUACCUUAAAAAA